Molecule: ribosomal RNA, 433 nt
Filed under: uncultured bacterium
Lineage: Bacteria
Description: partial 16S ribosomal RNA
Rfam family: Bacterial small subunit ribosomal RNA
Source: RNAcentral
AACGAACGCUGGCGGCAUGCCUAACACAUGCAAGUCGAACGAGACCUUCGGGUCUAGUGGCGCACGGGUGCGUAACGCGUGGGAACCUGCCCUUAGGUUCGGAAUAACUCCCCGAAAGGGGUGCUAAUACCGGAUAAUGUCUUCGGACCAAAGAUUUAUCGCCUUUGGAUGGGCCCGCGUUGGAUUAGCUAGUUGGUAGGGUAAAAGCCUACCAAGGCGACGAUCCAUAGCUGGUCUGAGAGGAUGAUCAGCCACACUGGGAAUGAGACACGGCCCAGACUCCUACGGGAGGCAGCAGUGGGGAAUAUUGGACAAUGGGCGAAAGCCUGAUCCAGCAAUGCCGCGUGAGUGAUGCAGGCCUUAGGGUUGUAAAGCUCUUUUACCCGGGAUGAUAAUGACAGUACCGGGAGAAUAAGCUCCGGCUAACUCCGUG